This 301-nucleotide ribosomal RNA is filed under the name uncultured bacterium. Its description in RNAcentral is "partial 16S ribosomal RNA". It matches the Rfam family "Bacterial small subunit ribosomal RNA", at positions 509 to 807 of the family's 1533-position model. The record is from RNAcentral.
CAGUCGCCACGGUAAUACGAAGGGGGCUAGCGUUGUUCGGAAUUACUGGGCGUAAAGCGCACGUAGGCGGAUCGAUCAGUCAGGGGUGAAAUCCCAGGGCUCAACCCUGGAACUGCCUUUGAUACUGUCGAUCUGGAGUAUGGAAGAGGUGAGUGGAAUUCCGAGUGUAGAGGUGAAAUUCGUAGAUAUUCGGAGGAACACCAGUGGCGAAGGCGGCUCACUGGUCCAUUACUGACGCUGAGGUGCGAAAGCGUGGGGAGCAAACAGGAUUAGAUACCCCGGUAGUCCCUGUCUCUUAUAC